RNAcentral lists this transfer RNA (87 nucleotides) under bacterium DOLZORAL124_64_63. RNAcentral's name for it is "tRNA-Leu". It matches the Rfam family "tRNA". From Rfam's summary of the family: Transfer RNA (tRNA) molecules are approximately 80 nucleotides in length. Their secondary structure includes four short double-helical elements and three loops (D, anti-codon, and T loops). The record is from RNAcentral.
GCCGGAGUGAUGGAAUUGGUAGACGUGACGGACUCAAAAUCCGUUGUUCCUUGGAACGUGUGGGUUCGAGUCCCACCUCCGGCACCA